This 999-nucleotide ribosomal RNA is filed under the name uncultured bacterium. RNAcentral's name for it is "bacterial SSU rRNA". It matches the Rfam family "Bacterial small subunit ribosomal RNA". The record is from RNAcentral.
AGAGUUUGAUCCUGGCUCAGAUUGAACGCUGGCGGAAUGCUUUACACAUGCAAGUCGAACGGCAGCACGGGGGGCAACCCUGGUGGCGAGUGGCGAACGGGUGAGUAAUACAUCGGAACGUGCCCAGUCGUGGGGGAUAACGUAGCGAAAGCUACGCUAAUACCGCAUGAGAUCCAAGGAUGAAAGCGGGGGAUCGCAAGACCUCGCGCGAUUGGAGCGGCCGAUGGCAGAUUAGGUAGUUGGUGGGGUAAAGGCCUACCAAGCCUGCGAUCUGUAGCUGGUCUGAGAGGACGACCAGCCACACUGGGACUGAGACACGGCCCAGACUCCUACGGGAGGCAGCAGUGGGGAAUUUUGGACAAUGGGCGCAAGCCUGAUCCAGCCAUUCCGCGUGCAGGAUGAAGGCCUUCGGGUUGUAAACUGCUUUUGUACGGAACGAAACGGUCCUGGUUAAUACCUGGGGCUAAUGACGGUACCGUAAGAAUAAGCACCGGCUAACUACGUGCCAGCAGCCGCGGUAAUACGUAGGGUGCAAGCGUUAAUCGGAAUUACUGGGCGUAAAGCGUGCGCAGGCGGUGAUGUAAGACAGAUGUGAAAUCCCCGGGCUCAACCUGGGAACUGCAUUUGUGACUGCAUUGCUGGAGUGCGGCAGAGGGGGAUGGAAUUCCGCGUGUAGCAGUGAAAUGCGUAGAUAUGCGGAGGAACACCGAUGGCGAAGGCAAUCCCCUGGGCCUGCACUGACGCUCAUGCACGAAAGCGUGGGGGAGCAAACAGGAUUAGAUACCCUGGUAGUCCACGCCCUAAACGAUGUCAACUGGUUGUUGGGGAUUAACUUCCUCAGUAACGAAGCUAACGCGUGAAGUUGACCGCCUGGGGAGUACGGCCGCAAGGUUGAAUCGUCGACCUGCAGGCAUGCAAGCUUGGCACUGGGCCGUCGUUUUACAACGUCGUGACUGGGAAAACCCUGGCGUUACCCAACUUAAUCGCCUUGCAGCACAU